This 433-nucleotide ribosomal RNA is filed under the name uncultured bacterium. RNAcentral's name for it is "partial 16S ribosomal RNA". It matches the Rfam family "Bacterial small subunit ribosomal RNA", at positions 29 to 507 of the family's 1533-position model. The record is from RNAcentral.
AGCGAACGCUGGCGGCAGGCUUAACGCAUGCCAGUCGAGCGGGCACUUCGGUGUCAGCGGCAGACGGGUGAGUAACACGUGGGAACGUACCCUUUGGUUCGGAAUAACGCUGGGAAACUAGCGCUAAUACCGGAUACGCCCUUUUGGGGAAAGGCUUGCUGCCGAAGGAUCGGCCCGCGUCUGAUUAGCUAGUUGGUGGGGUAAUGGCCUACCAAGGCGACGAUCAGUAGCUGGUCUGAGAGGAUGAUCAGCCACACUGGGACUGAGACACGGCCCAGACUCCUACGGGAGGCAGCAGUGGGGAAUAUUGGACAAUGGGCGCAAGCCUGAUCCAGCCAUGCCGCGUGAGUGAUGAAGGCCUUAGGGUUGUAAAGCUCUUUUGUCCGGGACGAUAAUGACGGUACCGGAAGAAUAAGCCCCGGCUAACUUCGUG